This 214-nucleotide long non-coding RNA is filed under the name Cervus elaphus hippelaphus. It matches the Rfam family "7SK RNA", at positions 17 to 239 of the family's 331-position model. Rfam says of the family: 7SK was discovered as an abundant small nuclear RNA in the mid-70s but a possible function has only recently been suggested. Two independent studies have found that 7SK RNA binds the CDK9/cyclin T complex (known as elongation factor P-TEFb). The record is from RNAcentral. Lineage: Eukaryota; Metazoa; Chordata; Mammalia; Artiodactyla; Cervidae.
UGACCAUGACAUCUGUCACCCUGUUGGUUGCCAGGCUUGGGUCCCCUGAACUGGCUGGUUAGCAGGUCCCCUCCCUCCCCCACUGCUCCAGGUGCUUCCUCCUGAAGCUGAGAGCUCAGUUGAAGAAGACAAUCUUCCCCCAAAGAGGGGGAUGAUCCUUCAGUCCAGGGUAGAUGCUAGAACUGCCAAACAGCUCCCCCAAACCCCUCAACAA